Molecule: ribosomal RNA, 448 nt
Filed under: uncultured bacterium
Lineage: Bacteria
Description: bacterial SSU rRNA
Rfam family: Bacterial small subunit ribosomal RNA
Source: RNAcentral
AUUGAACGCUGGCGGCAUGCCUAACACAUGCAAGUCGAACGGCAGCACGGUCUGGUUUACCAGAUGGGUGGCGAGUGGCGAACGGGUGAGUAAAGCGUAGGAAUAUACCUUAAAGAGGGGGAUAACCUGGGGAAACUCAGGCUAAUACCGCGUAAACUCUGCGGAGCAAAGCUGGGACCGAAAGGCCUGGCGCUUUAAGAUAGCCUGCGUCCGAUUAGCUAGUUGGUGGGGUAAAGGCUCACCAAGGCGACGAUCGGUAGCUGGUCUGAGAGGACGAACAGCCACACUGGGGACUGAGACACGGCCCAGACUCCUACGGGAGGCAGCAGUGGGGAAUAUUGGGACAAUGGGGGAACCCUGAUCCAGCAAUGCGCGUGUGUGAAGAAGGCCCUGAGGGUUGUAAACGGCAACUUUUCAAGUGGGGAGGAGGAUUACUAGGUUAAGAGCC